This 279-nucleotide ribosomal RNA is filed under the name uncultured Glomus. Its description in RNAcentral is "partial 18S ribosomal RNA". It matches the Rfam family "Eukaryotic small subunit ribosomal RNA", at positions 548 to 832 of the family's 1831-position model. The record is from RNAcentral. Lineage: Eukaryota; Fungi; Glomeromycota; Glomeromycetes; Glomerales; Glomeraceae.
UUGGAGGGCAAGUCUGGUGCCAGCAGCCGCGGUAAUUCCAGCUCCAAUAGUGUAUAUUAAAGUUGUUGCAGUUAAAAAGCUCGUAGUUGAAUUUCGGGACUAGUACGUUGGUCGUGCCUUAGGUACGUACUGGUGUUACUGGUUCCUACCUUCUGACGAACCAUUAUGUCAUUAAUUUGGUGUGGUGGGGAAUCAGGACUGUUACUUUGAAAAAAUUAGAGUGUUUAAAGCAGGCUCGCGCUUGAAUACAUUAGCAUGGAAUAAUGAAAUAGGACGUUG